RNAcentral lists this ribosomal RNA (250 nucleotides) under uncultured bacterium. RNAcentral describes it as "partial 16S ribosomal RNA". It matches the Rfam family "Bacterial small subunit ribosomal RNA", at positions 526 to 779 of the family's 1533-position model. The record is from RNAcentral.
CGUAGGUGGCAAGCGUUGUCCGGAAUUAUUGGGCGUAAAGCGCGCGCAGGCGGUUCUUAAGUCUGAUGUGAAGCCCACGGCUUAACCGUGGAGGGUCAUUGGAAACUGGGAACUUGAGUGCAGAAGAGGAGAGUGGAAUUCCACGUGUAGCGGUGAAAUGCGUAGAUAUGUGGAGGAACACCAGUGGCGAAGGCGACUCUCUGGUCUGUAACUGACGCUGAGGCGCGAAAGCGUGGGAGCAAACAGGAUU